Molecule: ribosomal RNA, 468 nt
Filed under: uncultured bacterium
Lineage: Bacteria
Description: partial 16S ribosomal RNA
Rfam family: Bacterial small subunit ribosomal RNA
Source: RNAcentral
GACGAACGCUGGCGGCGUGCUUAACACAUGCAAGUCGAACGGAAAGGCCCUGCUUUUGUGGGGUGCUCGAGUGGCGAACGGGUGAGUAACACGUGAGUAACCUGCCCUUGACUUUGGGAUAACUUCAGGAAACUGGGGCUAAUACCGGAUAGGAGCUCCUGCUGCAUGGUGGGGGUUGGAAAGUUUCGGCGGUUGGGGAUGGACUCGCGGCUUAUCAGCUUGUUGGUGGGGUAGUGGCUUACCAAGGCUUUGACGGGUAGCCGGCCUGGGAGGGUGACCGGCCACCUUGGGACUGCGGUACGGCCCAGACUCCUACGGGAGGCAGCAGUGGGGAAUAUUGCGCAAUGGGCGGAAGCCUGAUGCAGCAGCGCCGCGUUCGUGAUGACGGCCUUCGGGUUGUAAACCGCUUUCGCCUGAGACGAAGCGUGAGUGACGGUAAUGGGUAAGGAAGCACCGGCUAACUACGUG